CACCAUGAUAGCCAUGAAAAAGCGAAGGCCAUUCUUGACGCUGCAGCAUCAAGAAGCAGGUACGGAUCGCAGGUGCAAGGUGAUCAAGAGGUUGUCGGGGAUGGUUCUGAUUGGGAGAGCGACUCCAGUUCUGAUCUGUUCGAGCUGGAUCUGGAUAGCACAUGACAUGCAUAAUCUCUCUACCCUUUCUUUUUCUCCAGCUGAUAUGAUCGAAUUUUACCAAAAUGGAUCUUUGAAUAUAAUUGUUAUGUAUUGUACCUAUGGUGGGAUGAGAUUAGCUAAUAACGCAAUGUAACUUAUAGUUAUGAUUAAUCUUUUGUGAUAAACAACUG
Molecule: long non-coding RNA, 332 nt
Filed under: Oryza brachyantha (malo sina)
Lineage: Eukaryota; Viridiplantae; Streptophyta; Magnoliopsida; Poales; Poaceae
Description: long non-coding RNA (OBRA_LNC000819)
Source: RNAcentral